UUCUCUGCUUCACUCUAGCCCGAGCCGUAAAGUUUCCGAUCGGAAUCAUCAAAUGGCGACCGAAGAAGUAGCUGUAGCGGUUGAGUCUGUUCCCGAACCGGAGGUGGCUGAGCCGGCGGCGGAGGAGGAACCGGCGGCGAAGGGUGGAAAGUCGAAGAAGGCGAAGGAGCCAAAGGCAAAGAAACCGGCCGGUCCGAGAAAGCCUAGAAACCCGCCUUUGCAUCCUCCAUACAUUGAGAUGAUUACCGACGCAAUUGUGACGCUGAAGGAGA
This 272-nucleotide unclassified non-coding RNA is filed under the name Hevea brasiliensis (rubber tree). The record is from RNAcentral. Lineage: Eukaryota; Viridiplantae; Streptophyta; Magnoliopsida; Malpighiales; Euphorbiaceae.